This is a long non-coding RNA of Homo sapiens (human), 2389 nucleotides long. The record is from Ensembl. Lineage: Eukaryota; Metazoa; Chordata; Mammalia; Primates; Hominidae.
CACAAGCUCUAGAGGGCUUCCGGGAGGAGGCUUAGGGAGCUGGGAAUCCGGGAGCAGAUGGUGGGUUCCUACCGUCGAGGGUGGGAGAGAGGGAUCUGAGGCCAAGUUUGAGGUAAGGACUGUGGAGCUCCAUCAGAUCCCCAUCCCCACCUCCCCUCAUCUGCGCAAUCCUGCGAGAAGCCUUAGACAGGUUCUGGCUCAGAGAACCGGAGAGAGGCACAACGCCUGGCCCCCAGGACUUGGCCACAGCGUCCCUGACCUUGUCUGCUCCAUGACCUCUCACUGAGGCCCAUUAACCCCUCAGUUCCCUGAUGAGGCUUGAUUUAGCAUCCUUGAUGUCAGCUCCUAAGAGUCUGGGAAGUGCAUUUAAGUCCUGGAGGUUGGACAAGGCCCCCUCCCCACAGCACACCUUUCCAUCCACUUCUAUCCCAGGCAUGGCUUUUGCUCUCCUGGCCUCCGUGCCCCCGGUGUUUGGACUCUACACUUCUUUCUUCCCCGUCCUCAUCUACAGCUUGCUAGGUACUGGGAGACACCUGUCCACAGGAACUUUCGCCAUACUCAGCCUCAUGACAGGCUCGGCCGUCGAGCGGCUGGUGCCGGAACCCCUCGUGGGGAAUCUGAGCGGAAUCGAGAAGGAGCAGCUGGACGCUCAACGGGUUGGGGUAGCCGCGGCCGUGGCCUUCGGGAGCGGGGCGUUGAUGCUGGGGAUGUUCGUGCUGCAGCUCGGCGUCUUGUCCACCUUUUUGUCCGAGCCUGUGGUCAAGGCGCUGACCAGCGGGGCCGCGCUGCACGUGCUCUUGUCCCAGCUGCCGAGCCUCUUGGGGUUGUCCCUCCCGCGCCAGAUCGGCUGCUUCUCUCUCUUCAAGACGCUGGCCUCCUUGCUGACUGCGCUGCCUCGGAGCAGUCCGGCCGAACUGACCAUCUCCGCGCUCAGCCUGGCGCUGCUCGUGCCGGUCAAGGAAUUGAACGUGAGAUUCCGAGACCGGCUACCCACGCCGAUCCCGGGGGAAGUCGUCUUGGUGCUUCUGGCCUCCGUGCUCUGCUUCACCUCUUCUGUGGACACAAGAUACCAAGUCCAGAUAGUGGGGCUGUUGCCUGGAGGAUUUCCCCAACCCCUCCUCCCCAACCUGGCUGAGCUGCCCAGGAUUCUGGCUGACUCGCUGCCCAUUGCACUGGUUAGUUUUGCGGUGUCUGCCUCCCUGGCCUCCAUCCAUGCAGACAAGUAUAGCUACACUAUUGACUCCAACCAGGAGUUCCUGGCACAUGGUGCCUCCAACCUCAUCUCCUCCCUCUUCUCUUGCUUUCCCAACUCGGCUACGCUGGCCACCACCAAUCUACUGGUGGAUGCUGGUGGGAAAACACAGCUGGCAGGCCUCUUCUCCUGCACAGUGGUCCUGUCGGUGCUGCUGUGGCUGGGGCCCUUCUUUUACUAUCUGCCCAAGGCUGUCCUGGCUUGCAUCAACAUCUCCAGCAUGCGCCAGGUGUUCUGCCAGAUGCAGGAACUUCCACAACUAUGGCACAUCAGCCGAGUGGACUUUCUCCUCCAGGUCCCGGGGCUCUGCAUCCUGAGCUAUCCAACACCACUGUACUUUGGGACCCGUGGGCAGUUUCGCUGCAACCUGGAGUGGCACCUGGGGCUCGGAGAAGGAGAAAAGGAGACUUCAAAGCCAGAUGGCCCAAUGGUUGCAGUUGCUGAGCCUGUCAGGGUGGUGGUCCUAGACUUCAGUGGUGUCACCUUUGCAGAUGCUGCUGGGGCCAGAGAAGUGGUGCAGGUGAGGGAGAGGCUGGCCAGCCGAUGUCGAGAUGCUAGGAUCCGCCUCCUCCUGGCUCAGUGUAAUGCCUUGGUGCAGGGGACACUGACCCGGGUAGGACUCCUGGACAGGGUGACUCCAGAUCAGCUGUUUGUGAGUGUGCAGGAUGCAGCUGCUUAUGCCCUGGGGAGCCUGUUAAGGGGCAGUAGCACCAGGAGCGGGAGCCAGGAGGCACUGGGCUGCGGCAAGUGAGGCAGGGGUAAGUGGCUGGAGACCCAGGGAGAGGGGUUUGGGAAAGGGUCUGAGGAAGAUCAAGAAGAAAAGGGUGGGGACGGAAUGAAUAGUAGAUUGAAGACCAAAUCAGGGAGCCCGGGCUGAGCUAUGGGUGAGGAACUGAAGAACUCAGAUCCCUAAGUAGGUGGGGUACCCCUGAGAGGACUGCCACAUUUCAUUAAGGAAGAGGGGUGCCUAAUCUAUUCCUGACAUGUCUCCUCUCUUCUCCAGGAGCUCACUGACCCAAAGAUUUGCACCGUGUGGGUCUGACCUCAUCAUGUGGAGUGCAGAGGGCCCUGAUGACAUGUGUGUGAUGAGGACCAUGACCCUUGAACCCCCUUACCUAACGUAACUAAUAAAAUGAA